Long non-coding RNA from Solenopsis invicta (red fire ant), 9297 nucleotides. RefSeq lists it as uncharacterized. The transcript is spliced from 2 exons. The record is from RefSeq and is a predicted model, not a curated record. Lineage: Eukaryota; Metazoa; Arthropoda; Insecta; Hymenoptera; Formicidae.
AUCAAACGUCAAGAUACGCGCCGCGCGCGAGACGGGAGACACGCGAUUUUUACACCACAAGCAGUUCUGAUUUAUUCGGUACGGUGAUUCUAUCCACUAACGACAAACGUAGCAGUUGCUUGUGUGAUAAUUUGCGAAAUUUGCUGGAAGCAAUUGGAGCUUUAAUUUAAUAUUUGGAAUUUUUUAUAAUAUCUCGUUUUGUCGCGAAAUUAAGACGAGCCUGGAGAAAUAAUUACGUUAUGUUUUAUUGUAUUUUUGUAAUAUACUUUUAAAGAUAUUUCAAUAUUAAAUUAAGAUAAAGUAAUAUGUAUAUAUUGAGCAUAAAACGCGCGGUUUAAUUGGUGGUACGUUAGUAAAGCAACUGUUCAGUGCAUGUGUAUCAAAAUAAUUGAUAUUUUGUCAAAUUUUUGACGUAAUUAAAAUUGUUGAAAAGCGAAAACGGUAUCGCGACAAACAAGUUCAACUAAAUACGCGAUUUAACUGACGGCGACCAGCGAUUCAAUUUGGGGAGUGUGUCAAGCAUGUAACUCAAUUUAUUAAAUGCUUGAUGGUUUUAUUCAUUAUGGAUAAAUGUAAAAGUACAGCACAAUCCGAGUCUUUUACAUUGUUUGCAUUUGUCUGGAGAAAUCGCGCCGGCUCGAUCAGAGCGAUUAAAGAAAUUUAUUUAGUUUGAUAUUAUCUUAUUAAACAAAUGUGUUUCAGUAUCAACGUAUCAAUUUUAUGCGUGAUUAUUUUCUUUGUUGAUGAUAAAUAUUUAAAUAAAUAUCUUACAAUAUUAAUCUGUAAUUGAUCAAAGAAAUUGUUUAAACAGAAUGCGCCGACUAUAUGCGUUUUAAUCGCUGAAGUGUUCUAAGUGAAUAUAUCGAUCGCGUCUUGUUUGCUUUAUUUGAUUACGAUUUUGUAACUUUAAAUAAAUCAUUUUUCGCGAAUAAUUCUUUCUAUCUUUCUAUAAAAAUCGUUUCGGAGCAUGCCGAACGCCAUGUGACACAUGUGAUCUUAAAUAACGGAAAGUCAAUUGUCGGCAGCGAUCGCGUUUAAUUCUUUUCACGCGCGAUAAUUUUACACUGAGAAAUAAAUCUGUUGAAAAAUUAAAAUAUUUGGUCCGAUGCGAUUAAGUAAACAUUGGGUUGAUUCAACGAUUAUUCCGUUGCACGAAACAAGUAUAAUUUAUUCAUGUCGGUCAUUCAAAUUUUUAAAUCAAGAUUUAAUUAAACCAGCUCAAUAUUUAGUGGCACGUAUUGGACUAAUUGUAUAUAUUUUAGUUUUUUGAUAAAUCAUUUUCUCAGUGUACCUGCUAAUUUUUCCCAUGUUUGUUAUCUCGUGUCAUUGUCACGGCGCGUUUUUAAAAGUUGUUACGUACAUUGUUGCAAAGGAUAAUCACGCACCAACUUGAUUAGCUUUAAUUGAAAGCCAGUAAGAUUAUUAUUAUCGUAGUCGUCUGCAUAUUAUCACAGAAAGAACCUAUAAUUGCUCAUUAUUGGCGUAUCAAUACGUGUUAUUCCCUUUGUAUUUUUAUUCUAUCGGAUUUAUUACUGCGCGAUGUAAUUGGUACGAGUCUCGAUGUCGCUACCGAUAAUAAUCGCUCUCCUCCUUUCUCGCCAUUACGAAAUGCGUAUCGUUAUCGUAUAUCCAACAAGUCGAAUUCACGUAAAACGAGCGCGUAUCAAUCGGCAUCGUAUCAAUCCCUUAUGCCUUAUGCGAUGCCUUACCGUCAAGACGUUUCGCUUUAUCCUCGCGUGGGCGCCCAUUCGAGAGAGAUCGGUUUAUCCGCAACGUUACGUUCCGCGCUCGCAGGACAAAAGUGAUAUCUCACUGUGCUCCGCUUCGGCGUAAAAGCGCGGGACAAGAACUCUAAGUCACCGAACGGUACGGCUGAAUAAUAAAUGCGCACCAUCCCCGGUUCAAUUUCGGACCCGCAAUGAUAUAUUUUUCACGCUGCUCGCGGUGAGACAGAACCGUAUUUCAGUGACGUCCUGUAACGUUCAGCGAUAUUAAUAUAUCUGGCACGAUUAGAGUUGAAAUAUUUUCCAACGAUGAUAUUUAUACAGUCUUAUUAACGUGCAUAUGUCAUCUGAAUUUGUGUUGUUUGGCACAACGGACUUUACCGUAAUCCGAAGUCGUGUUAAUUAUUCAUAUAAAUUUUCUGUUGCUCGGUGACUGCGAAAUCUCAACGCUAGAAGUCUAGAUAACAGAUUACACACAGUUCGAUAAAGAAAACAUACUAGAAGGGCAUCAUUUUUUUAUAGUUUUCUGGACACUGGAUAUAAAUUUUCGAACUGUUUUAUCACGUCGCAACUUUAAAAAAUUAAAUAUGUCGGGAUUUUCAACUCUCAGAAAGAAUUCGGAAAAUUUCCGUGUUGGAUAUUAUUGAGUUAUUAAAUACGCGUCAAUUUCCGUUCGGUUUUAGUUCAAGUUCUCUUUUUUGUAAGGUGGCAUUCCCACUUUUCUGCAUGUAGACAUAGUGGUGGGAGUUAGGCUGGAUUUUCUGUUGCCUGAGACUGAGCGCCCUGAGUGGCACUUCUUUUUCUGAUUUCUGACAAUAAAGACGUAUUGUAACAUUCACUAGGGAGUCUUUGAGUGUCUAUUAUUCAAACAUUAACACGUUCCAUAUCACACAACGCGACAAUCUCAAUAGAUAUGAUUAAUAAAACAUUCAUGAUUAAAUAUAGAUCAUUAACAAAUGACCAAUUUAUGACCUUCAUUCACGUUUAUUUUUUAUAGUUUUCUGGACACUGGAUAUAAAUUUUCGAACUGUUUUAAACUUAACGAGUUUUUAAACCGUUGAAUGCGAAUUCGAUUUCAAAAUUAACAAAGUUAAAAUGAAUUUAAUAUGAUGGAUGUCAGAACUUAAUAAAUGUUUGAAUUUUUGUAUAAAUUUAUGUAUAGAAAUCUUUCAUGGUCCUGAAUACGAAUCCAAUGUCAAAUUAAGAAAUUUAAAAUGAUUAGUACAGCCAAUGAAAAUUAAAUCAUGUUUGAAGUCUAAUAAAGAAUCAAAUGUAUGGAUUUUUCACAUACUAUAUGUACUUCGUACACGGAAAGAACGAACGGUUUUAUUGAAAUAACUUAAAAAUUUAAUAUACAGAUUUGAAAAUAAUUUAGUUAAACCAUCAAAAUUUGGCAAGAAAAGUCAUAUUAUUCUUCUUCUAAGUAAAUGAGAGGUAUUUUUUUCAUACACAGCAAAAACUUUCAUUUACAUAGAAAGCAAAAUGACAUGACUUUUUUGCCUACGUAAUAAUCACGUAGGAGUUGAUUGCUAGAAGGUUUAAAAUUUUUUGUAGCACUGCUCAUCACGUUUGAGCGUCUUACAUAAUUAUUUUGAUAACUCAAUAAAAUUAUUUUCAGAUCUGUAUCUAGCUAAAUUUCUACAUUCUUCAAUGUGUGUAUUUAACUAUGAAUAUCUUGUUAACCGCAGCCGACACAAAAAAUUUCUUUUGAAGGCUAAAUGUCCUAACAACAUACUUAAUUUUGAUUGCAAUGAAACUUCUCCAAUAUAUCACACCGUUAGAAUAUGACAAGGUAUGUGAAAACAGCUCUUUUUUGCGAUUUUAAUUGCAGAUUUCUUAAAAUUGUGACGUGAUGGAACAAUUUGGAAGCCAGAUUCGUAUUCAGCGCCCAAAAACUAUAAAAAAUCACUAAUUUUAUUCUGGUGUUUAAAAAAACAGUUUUUUUUUGUUGGACUGUGUUUUACGACUAAAUAAAAAAAGAUAAAAAAGUCAUUGUACAUUAAACGAGAAUCUUCCACACAAUAAUGUAUGAAUCAAAUAUGAUGGAAUAUCCCACGCUUACAUAUGCAAAAAGCAUUAUUUUGCUAAAGUUUCUAAAAAUUCCAUUACAGAGAGAAAUCUGAAAAUGAUUGUAUUGAAUAAUUAAAAUAAGUAUAUUGGACAUUUUAGCUGACAACUAAAAUGUCAAAACUUCUCGCAGGAAUAUCACCGUGGUCGAACGUUCUACAUAAUAUUUUUAGUUCUAUAUCUAAAUUUUUAGAUACUUUAAUAAAUGAUUCAUUUCAUGUACAAUGUCUGAAUACAGGGUGUUCCCGCAUUUUUCGUACAAACAGAAUGUUCUAUGAACUAAAGUGAGAAAAAAAUAUAAACAGUCCUGAAAUGAUUGAUUAAAAAGUUAUAUUGAAAAUAUGAAGUCACAGUUGCGAUGAUAUUACUUUUAUUAGUUCAUUUCUUGAUGUGAGAUAAACUCGUGUUCGAUAAACUUAGUAUUUACUAUUUGAAACGAUGCGGCACAAGAUAAACGACAAGUGAUACACUGUAAGUUGUGAGUGAUCCGAUGAUGUUUAUCUUGUUCUUCUAAUCGUGUUUGUACUAUUUGAAAUGAUUGAAUUCAACAUUCAUUCGUCGAUUACAUCGAUGCCAAGCUUGGGCGAACGACAUUUUGAGACGCAAACUCAAGUGAAAAAUCGUUUCUUGCAAAUUUCAUAUUUUUGCUAUAAUUUUACGAUGAAGCAUUUUAAAACCCAUGUUUACAUAACUUUUUUUCCUUCUUUCGUAGAACAUACUGUUAAAGUUUGUUUAAAAAGUCCAGACGCAUCCUGUUUAUUGCUCAACUCUUUUUCUCUUCUUAAUUACGUAAUUAAAGAAAAAUAAAGCUGAAGAAACUUAAUGCUUUUCUAGCUUCUCAAAUCUUUAAACAUUUUGCUCUCGUGUCACGUAACGUACAACACACAAAAUAUUGCUCAAUCAAUCAAUAUUGCAGAGUUCGCCGUUAUCCGCUAGAAUCGAUUCAUACAGUUUACAAAUUAAUUAGUUGGAUUGUACGACGCAAUCCGAAACGUGAUCUCGCGCCGCGAACCGCAUUGAAUCCGCACGAGGACACUAUCGACCAGCUACCGUGUAGCCGUAUCAUUCAAAUAUUGACAGCUGCAUUCUACGGGUCGCCACCGGUAUUCCUCGUAUCGCCGAUUUUUAUCGCGAACCGCCGAUCGAUACGGCCUCAGUCGUGUCGGCCGAGACGGCGCGCGGCGGCAGCGGCGAUGGUGGCAGCUCCAUUGCCGAGGAUGUGCUCUUUCACAUUCGUCCGAGAAGUCGCUCGUUUCUCGCGCGAACGUUCGUGCAUGUCGGUCUGAUUUUAUGAUAACGUUGGUCGGCUACCAAAUCGCCGAGCAAAUAUGACUUGUACGAUACUUUAUUCCCGCACCCCCCGCGCAGCCCCAUUUCCCGAUUUUCCGCUCCCUCGACCGCAUAUUUUGUUUGCUCGUUGAUCUUCACGAAUUUGUAUGUACGCUUUCCGCACGUUGUCGGAGGGAAAAUGUAUCGCGAGCACGCCGCGAAAUAUGGCGGGCUUUGCGCGCACUAAAGCAAGGUCAAAAUUUGCAUCCAUCUCCAUUUAUGGUCAAUUCAUCGCCCGGCGCGUUACAGUCAACGUUUUAAUAGUUAACAACUCUUUUACAUCCGCGUUUUCACGCGAUGUUGAACGAGAUACGCAGAUACAAACCACUUUAUCUUAUUUUUAUUUAAAUGACAUACAAAUUAAUGAUAAAAUAGCACGUUCGUAUGACGCAUAAAUUAAAUGGCAAUCAACGCAUUAUUUAUAAUUAGUGUCAUUCAAAUCAAUUUGCCGUGAUAAUUCAAAUGUUUGACGCUUUUGCUUUUAAUAGAGUUGCGCGUAUCCAAUAUUUGAUGCGAUAUUGUACAUAGCAUUUUAUUACUUUUGCCUCCUCCUUUUGCGUAAAUCUUAUGAAAUGUAUAUCGUAAGCAUGGAUUUACAGCGAAGAGAACAUUAAAAAGAUCACCAGAAGUAACAAAAGAAGACAAUAGAAUUCAUUUCGCUCGAGCGGUUUGAUCAUCUGCGCAAUUAUAUCGCGAUACGAAUUUAUUUACUUAUAUAACCGUUGUUCCACAUCGUUUUUGUUAUUAGACGCGUUAAAGAAAGUGGUUUCUUGCUCGCGAUAGCACGGACCACGAUAUUCGCGCACAUAACAGUAUGAAAUGGACUAAAACGCAACAUUUUUCUCUCUCUUUUUUUAAAUAGAUUUAGAGAUUCCACUUUGAUUAAAAAAAUACAUAUACUUUGCACAUUACAAUUACAUGUAUUUUUUUUAUUUUAUAUGAAAGACGCGUCGAUUUUUUUGUAAUAUUAUACCAUGUUAUGGCUGUAAUCGUCCAUGAAGAACGCGUAAAUUUCGCGCAAUAACUAAAUUCGACGAAGUAUAUAACUGCGGCAAUUGUGUGACUAAACCCUCCGAGUAUUCGCUGUAGCGGGAAAAAACGUCGGGGCUUUAUGCGGAACAGCUUAACGAAGCUGGUAAGAAUCUUGCACAAAGAAAGGCGAAUUACGUGUCGGUCGAGUGGAAGGAAAUUUAAAUUCCUAAACGAAAAGUAAAAGACCAAGUGACGUGUUACACUUAGAAAGCUAAUUGUAACAAGAGGACAUGCGGCUAUUGAAAUAUUUAUCUUUUAAUAAAUUAUAUCACAGUUCUAUCGGUUUUCGUUACAUACUCCAAAAUUUUGAGUGACAUAUGUAGUGCUUAAGGAUGUUUGUGGAUCAUGUCUCAAAACAUUACCAAAAAUAUAACAAUUUCGUAGAAUGUUUUAGUAUUACGUUUGAGUAUAAUUGUAGCUCAAUUCAUUUACUGUUUUAAAAGUUGUUUAGUUUUUUCUUCACUCUUGAUUCUUACGUAAAAUCGCGUUUUGCAGUAUUUAUUUACAAAAUUUGAUGGGAAAGUAUCGUUACCAAUUAAAUCCAAAUUUUUACAUACACUAAUAAAACUCUAAUCAAAAUUUAUUUAGAUCUGAAUUCUCGCUGCAUUAUAUAAAUCAAACUUUUCAUUGUUUUCUUCUUUGCAGCUAGUUUGAAAGUCAAAAUUUGGGCAUUUGCAAUUACAAUUUUUGUUGUUUAGGAAAAAAAAAUCCUAGAGAAAUCCUCAGUUUUUAAAUUUCGAUAACUUUUAGUUCGUAUUGUACAGUCAAAACAUCCUAGCACUUAAUGCAUCCUUUUCCGGAUCAUUAUUAGACUCCACAUUUGUCACUAAUUUUCAUCACUUUACGAGUAUAAAAAAAAUUAUGAAGUGUGACUCUUACAUGUUUCAACUUUCCAUACUUCAUUUCUAAUACUUUCAAAUACUUCCAUUUCUAGGAAGUAUUUGUAUGGUUAUUCAUUAAAAAAAAAAUUGUACAUAAAUGUUAUAACUAAUGUAACUAAAAUAUGCUCUAUAUUUUGGUUGACCUAAUAAUUAUAUAUAUGUUAGUACAUAUUUUAUAAUUAUUAAAUUUAUGUUUUUAUAUAAAAGAGAGUAUGUGUAUAAAAUGUAUAAAAUUAUUAGGCCAAUCAAAAUAUGUUAAAGCAUAUUUUGAUUGUGUCCCAGUUAUAACUAAUCGUAAUCGACAAGAUAUUUUGAAAGAAGAAAAGUGCGCGGGUCCCACAAUGACCAAAGGUGUUUGUUGAGUAUUAAUGUCGAGUGUCGUAAAAAAUCAUAAAGAUAUCAAUCGCCUCGUAUUCGAGAUUCAAUUAGGAAGUUCUCGGAUCUUUAAGCCGAACAAUAAUCUUUGUUAAUUGGCGCGGCCGAGCUAAAUAGCCGCUAAUGAAAACGCGGGGCAAUUAAUAAGGCCUCAGGAAAGUCAACUCGAUUGUCCUCUCGCCGGAAUGGCUCGCGUUAAAUCUGCAGGCUGGAUUUCCGCGCGGAUUUCACAACUUUCGUUUCGAGUUCACGUUAAUCGCGAAUUACGAGUCGCCGUGGCGAGGACGAGGAUGGCGUUCGGAUUUAUCGAUAAUCGCGUCCCCGUUUGCCAGCCGCCACCGCUCGAGAGGCGCAAUUUGCCGGGAUGGAGAGACGGUAGAAAAUGUCUGCCUCGCGGUCUACCUCGCGACUAUGACCUUGAUUUACGAUCUUUCGCUGACCCUAACGUCAACCGAGCACGGCCGGCCGCUCUCACGUACCGCCAUCAAAAUGAUCACGUUUACAUCGGACGGCGGUCGGCAGCGCGAGAAUUCCACGUGUUCCGCAUUUAAGCCCGACGACGAUGACGACGACGAUUUCCGUCAUAUUCCCGCAUAAUUUACGAAUACACCGCUUGCUGGCGACGCGACGACACACACACACACACACACACACACAUACACACGCGGUACAGAUCAGUCGGGCAUAUGCGCGCUGAUUGUAACGAAUUAAUCCGCGGCCUGUGUGUUACACGCCGAAUUACGCGUUAUGUUAAGCGCGGAAUGUAUUGAUACGCGAAACGCUUUGUGCGAAAAUUUAAUUGUACGGGUUUCUCGUAUCGCCAAUUAUGAACGUGACGUUGAAACGCGCGCGUUGUGUCUAAAAUAACCUUCGUAUCGCGGUUUUACAAUGGACAUUUGAAACGGUUAAUUUCGAACGAGCCAAUGUUAAACUGCUUUAAUUACUCAUUAGCUCGUUAGUUAAUACCGAUUCGAAAAAUUAAAACCCUACUUUGGACUUUUUAUAAUGUUAUUAUGAUAAGUAUCGAGUAGCAUUGCGUGUGUGCUCCUCUAUAACAUUUGGAACAUCCGAAUCUAGUUUUACUUGGAAAGGUAGGAAAUUUUCACCUGCGAGACUUGAAAAGUCGUCGGGAUUUCUCUUUUGGCGAGAUUUAAUUUUGAUAUUACAGGAUUAUAAAUAUGUAUAAUUUAUAGACUAUAAUUUAUGAAAUUCUCCCUCUCUCCCCUCCACUUUCGAAGUUUCUCCGAUUCGGAAUAUCGUUUCGAGCACGUCGGGUUGUCGUUAAUUAAACAUCUCAGGUAUCGCCAGUGGUAUAUAAUAAUCGGCAUAAAUAUUCAGUAUCAAUUAAUUAAUAGGGGGAUUAGUUCACGCGAGCCCCGUUGAUCUCCCCACACGCGAUCACGCAUCGGCCGUGCGAGGAAAGUCCAGACAUGCCCCGUUCUUAUCCAGCGCGCGCGAUCGUAAUCAGCGAUUACUCGAUUCAGUGCUACGUGGCAAGAAUCGCGAACGGGGCGAGCCAACGAAGCCAAAUAGACUCGCGGACGCGAUCGUUGCGAAACGCUCGCAUGUAUGUACAUGCCGUACACACAUGUGUGCAUCCGGGACAGCCGUCGAGAUGUGCAGCGUCCGUCGUCGCGUCGGGACGGGUUGUGCGCGUCGAGCAAAUUUUACUUCGGCUUGUCACCAGAGACUACCACAUUAUACGCGAGAGCACUAGUUAUGCCUCACUUUCUCACGAUGUAGAUUGAGAUGUACACGAGAUCUUUCCGUAGGUAGGAAUGCCACUGUCCGGCGUGCUAUCAUUCGUGGCACGCGAGUUUCUACGGAUCGCGUAGAGGCGCAGCCGGAAUUUUUAAACCCGGAAAUAAAUCGCGGACUGUCGCACUCGC